AAACCUGAUAAACCCAAAAGAUCGAAUGGGGAGAUUCAUCGCCAGUGACUUUGGCUCUCGCUCGGAAUUGCAUUACCUGGCUACGGUUAGUGUCUUGCGUCUGUUGCGAUGUGUCCGUCGUCGUAGUGCGUGCACUUCUCCCCUAGUAGGACGUCGCGACCCGUUGGGUGCCGGCCUACGGCCCGGUAGGUUGACUGACGCGUCGCGUUCGCGCGUUCCCGCGUCAGACACCGCUGGAUGCCCGGCCGGCUGCUCGGCGGUAUAGAAUGCUUUAACACGGUAUUGAGCCGCACUUUAAGUGCGUCCGGCUCGUCGGCAGGCUCGCAUCGUGCGGAUUUACGGACCUGGUGCCGUUGCCGUUACGUUGUGUUGCUGUUAGUCGACGAUGUCCUCGGACUGGCUCUUAACAUUCGAAUGGAUAUACCGGUCGGCGACGCUACUGCUUUGGGUACUUU
This 455-nucleotide ribosomal RNA is filed under the name Spalangia nigripes. RNAcentral's name for it is "eukaryotic LSU rRNA". Lineage: Eukaryota; Metazoa; Arthropoda; Insecta; Hymenoptera; Spalangiidae. The record is from RNAcentral.